RNAcentral lists this ribosomal RNA (641 nucleotides) under Cellulosimicrobium sp. I15A-00519. RNAcentral describes it as "bacterial SSU rRNA". It matches the Rfam family "Bacterial small subunit ribosomal RNA", at positions 92 to 748 of the family's 1533-position model. The record is from RNAcentral. Lineage: Bacteria; Bacillati; Actinomycetota; Actinomycetes; Micrococcales; Promicromonosporaceae.
UUAGUGGCGAACGGGUGAGUAACACGUGAGUAACCUGCCCUUGACUUCGGGAUAACUCCGGGAAACCGGGGCUAAUACCGGAUAUGAGCCGCCUUCGCAUGGGGGUGGUUGGAAAGUUUUUCGGUCAGGGAUGGGCUCGCGGCCUAUCAGCUUGUUGGUGGGGUGAUGGCCUACCAAGGCGACGACGGGUAGCCGGCCUGAGAGGGCGACCGGCCACACUGGGACUGAGACACGGCCCAGACUCCUACGGGAGGCAGCAGUGGGGAAUAUUGCACAAUGGGCGAAAGCCUGAUGCAGCGACGCCGCGUGAGGGAUGAAGGCCUUCGGGUUGUAAACCUCUUUCAGCAGGGAAGAAGCGCAAGUGACGGUACCUGCAGAAGAAGCGCCGGCUAACUACGUGCCAGCAGCCGCGGUAAUACGUAGGGCGCAAGCGUUGUCCGGAAUUAUUGGGCGUAAAGAGCUCGUAGGCGGUUUGUCGCGUCUGGUGUGAAAACUCGAGGCUCAACUUCGAGCUUGCAUCGGGUACGGGCAGACUAGAGUGCGGUAGGGGAGACUGGAAUUCCUGGUGUAGCGGUGGAAUGCGCAGAUAUCAGGAGGAACACCGAUGGCGAAGGCAGGUCUCUGGGCCGCAACUGACGCUG